This 498-nucleotide ribosomal RNA is filed under the name uncultured bacterium. RNAcentral's name for it is "partial 16S ribosomal RNA". It matches the Rfam family "Bacterial small subunit ribosomal RNA", at positions 28 to 523 of the family's 1533-position model. The record is from RNAcentral.
GAUGAACGCUAGCGGCAGGCCUAAUACAUGCAAGUCGGACGGGAUUGAGAAGCUUGCUUUUCAUGAGAGUGGCGCACGGGUGCGUAACACGUAUGUAACCUACCUUAAUCAGGGGGAUAGCCUCUCGAAAGAGAGAUUAACACCGCAUAAAAUCAAUUUAUGGCAUCAUAGAAUGAUCAAAUAUUUAUAGGAUUAAGAUGGGCAUGCGGAACAUUAGCUAGUUGGUAAGGUAACGGCUUACCAAGGCUACGAUGUUUAGGGGAUCUGAGAGGAUGACCCCCCACACUGGUACUGAGACACGGACCAGACUCCUACGGGAGGCAGCAGUAAGGAAUAUUGGUCAAUGGGCGCAAGCCUGAACCAGCCAUGCCGCGUGCAGGAAGACGGCCCUACGGGUUGUAAACUGCUUUUGUACCGGAAUAAACCUUUGUAUGUAUACGAAGCUGAAUGUACGGUAAGAAUAAGGAUCGGCUAACUCCGUGCCAGCCGCCGCAGUAA